UGGGGAAUUUUGGACAAUGGGCGAAAGCCUGAUCCAGCAAUGCCGCGUGUGUGAAGAAGGCCUUCGGGUUGUAAAACACUUUUGUCCGGAAAGAAAUCCUUGGCUCUAAUACAGUCGGGGGAUGACGGUACCGGAAGAAUAAGCACCGGCUAACUACGUGCCAGCAGCCGCGGUAAUACGUAGGGUGCAAGCGUUAAUCGGAAUUACUGGGCGUAAAGCGUGCGCAGGCGGUUUGCUAAGACCGAUGUGAAAUCCCCGGGCUCAACCUGGGAACUGCAUUGGUGACUGGCAGGCUAGAGUAUGGCAGAGGGGGGUAGAAUUCCACGUGUAGCAGUGAAAUGCGUAGAGAUGUGGAGGAAUACCGAUGGCGAAGGCAGCCCCCUGGGCCAAUACUGACGCUCAUGCACGAAAGCGUGGGGAGCAAACAGGAUUAGAUACCCUGGUAGUCCACGCCCUAAACGAUGUCAACUAGUUGUUGGGGAUUCAUUUCCUUAGUAACGUAGCUAACGCGUGAAGUUGACCGCCUGGGGAGUACGGUCGCAAGAUUAAAACUCAAAGGAAUUGACGGGG
This 570-nucleotide ribosomal RNA is filed under the name uncultured bacterium. RNAcentral's name for it is "partial 16S ribosomal RNA". It matches the Rfam family "Bacterial small subunit ribosomal RNA", at positions 355 to 918 of the family's 1533-position model. The record is from RNAcentral.